Molecule: transfer RNA, 75 nt
Filed under: Patescibacteria group bacterium
Lineage: Bacteria
Description: tRNA-Phe
Rfam family: tRNA
About the family: Transfer RNA (tRNA) molecules are approximately 80 nucleotides in length.
Source: RNAcentral
GCCGAGGUAACUCAACGGUAGAGUGCUUCCCUGAAAAGGAAGAGGUAGUGGGUUCGACCCCCACCCUCGGCACCA